AGGACGAACGCUGGCGGCGUGCUUAACACAUGCAAGUCGAGCGAAGCCCAUCCUUCGGGGUGGUGACUGAGCGGCGAACGGGUGAGUAACACGUGGGCAACCUACCCUCAGCUCUGGGAUAACCCCGGGAAAACCGGAGCUAAUACCGGAUAUGACCUUGAACGACAUCGUUCUUGGUGGAAAGUUUUUCGGCUGAGGAUGGGCCCGCGGCCUAUCAGCUUGUUGGUGAGGUAACGGCCCACCAAGGCGACGACGGGUAGCCGGCCUGAGAGGGCGAUCGGCCACACUGGGACUGAGACACGGCCCAGACUCCUACGGGAGGCAGCAGUGGGGAAUAUUGCGCAAUGGGCGAAAGCCUGACGCAGCGACGCCGCGUGAGGGAUGAAGGCCUUCGGGUUGUAAACCUCUUUCAGCAGGGACGAAGCGAAAGUGACGGUACCUGCAGAAGAAGCACCGGCAACUACGCGCCAGCAGCCGC
Molecule: ribosomal RNA, 478 nt
Filed under: uncultured bacterium
Lineage: Bacteria
Description: SSU rRNA
Rfam family: Bacterial small subunit ribosomal RNA
Source: RNAcentral